AAAAAAAUAGUUUUCUACUCUUGUUUGACCCUCUAAGAGGAUUGGUUUGUUCACAAUUUUCUCCUCUGUUUAUAAACCUUAAUGUUUUCUGCCUGUCUCCUCAUCUCCUGAGUCUCUCGUAACGGAUCUUCAAGUAACAAGGUCUAGGUGAAAGGCUUUGGCAAUGAGCUUGGCCCUUAGGUUCAGAGCUCCUUUGGUCUUUGUGUCUUGGCUGAAACAAUAAAGGAGCCAAGGGAGAACCCAAGACAGAGACUAGUGGCACAAUUAUGAAGCAUGAAUUAUCCAGAUGAAAAGACCUAUGGAA
This is a long non-coding RNA of Molossus molossus (Pallas's mastiff bat), 304 nucleotides long. RefSeq lists it as uncharacterized. The transcript has 3 exons. NCBI's taxonomy places the organism in Eukaryota, Metazoa, Chordata, Mammalia, Chiroptera, Molossidae. The record is from RefSeq and is a predicted model, not a curated record.